Long non-coding RNA from Neopsephotus bourkii (Bourke's parrot), 3012 nucleotides. RefSeq lists it as uncharacterized. NCBI's taxonomy places the organism in Eukaryota, Metazoa, Chordata, Aves, Psittaciformes, Psittacidae. The record is from RefSeq and is a predicted model, not a curated record. The transcript has 3 exons.
GGACAAGAACAAGGAAAAAAAAAUUAUUUUAAAAGGGAUCAAGUAAUAAUAAAAUUCACCUGAGCUGUCAUGAGACAUUAUGCAUUUUCUGCAGAGAUCUGCUGCAUGCAGCCACAACUCAUUACCCCCGAUAAAACUUACCCUUGUACAAAGGUAUUCUUUGAUUCACAGUUUCAGAGAAAGCAUAUGCCAAAGCUUGGGCAACACUGAUGCCAGCAAGUCAGAGUUCUUACAUGCCAAAGUCUUCCUGUAGUAAGUAUUAAACACUAUGCAACCUCCUUAUUUAUUGACUGAUUACACCUAUUUAAAGUAACAGCAAAGGCAGAACUGAUAUUGAGCAACGCAACAUUUCAGCAGUAAAAGGCAGCUUCACAAACAUGCCAGGCAAGACUUUCAUUUCAAGUGGAAAUAUUUAAGAUCUCUCUAUGACAAAAUAUUUUGUCAUUCUAUGAACAAUCCCCUCCCCAUCCUCCCCCCCCCCCAAAGAGCACCAGGAUAAACUGCAUUUGUGUUUUGAAAGCAGUCUUCAAAAGACAAGAAGCCACUGCCACCCAAUUCUGAGGUUUCAGCAGGUCAAUUCCUCAACUAAAAGUAGAAGGUAUGUGUGCAUAAAUAUGGAAUGAGAAAAUGGUCCAGCACAGUAGACUAAAUUUGAGCAGGACAGCUUGCUUGCAUCAUGUGAAUGCUGUGGAAGGGACCCGUUGGAUUACAGGCUGUUAAGAGCUACACUGAAAUGACAGUACCAGAACCACUGUACUGUAUUUUGCCAAAGCCCCAUAGUGGCUGUUCUCAAGCAAGCAAAGCAGAAAUCCAUCAGGACAACCAGCCCUAGUGCCAUACUCAACAAGCUUGCUCGUUUCUCUCACCCUCUGCCCCAAGUUCUGGCACAUGUUAUGCUUUGAGGCUUAUGUGUAUGCUUGGCUCUGUCUUCAUCGAGCAUGGAGGGGUAGCACCAGGAAAGUGCCAGUAUGAAAACUCCUCCCCAGGCUUGGAUUCUGCACGACUCACUCCUCUCAGCACUCCCAACAGCUUGGGCUUGUAUGACUGCUCCUUCCCAAGCGCUUCACUAAGUCUGUAGACUGUGCAUUCCUCAAAGUAGAAAUGUUUUCCUCCUCAAGUGCAGUGUACACACUUUGUGUACUAUUACAAGAACCGCCAAACCCUGCAGUGACAGACAGCUAUAUUUUGACCUAUCCCAAGUGCUACUACAACAUCCAUCACAUCCAGUUGUUAUUUUUUCUCUUUCUGAUCCCUGCUCUCACCAGUUCUGCUUGCUAGAAAGCAAUGGCAUUGUUCACAUUUUUGAAGCAGCAGCUAAUGCUUGUUUCAGAGCUUUUGAAGUUCAUUCGGAAGUACCUCAUACUUGGCAACUCUCAUUGGAGUAAAUGCUAUUUCUGUUUGCCAACAGGGUGUUAUGUUAAAAGGCUUACUUCAUCUCUUGCAAAUAUGCUGUGGGAAACUAGUACUCUUAAGACUGGAACAUGGAAAGACAAUCUAUCAUAAAGCAUACAAAGAAAAUGAAAUAUGUACUGGAAUGGCAGUGCCCAAAAUGUAGGUCUCAAAUUAUACUUAAUGGAGUGGGGAGAGUGGGAAGUGUUUGGGUUUGUGUCCAUGCCCCUCUCAAACGACGUUUUGGCUAAGAAUCCUCUCUACCCCAGCACAACUCUUUCUCCAUCUCUCCAUCCUUCUUCCUAUUUAAAAGUGUUACUGUGGCAUAGAUUUAUUAAGAUUAAACAAACCUGACAUCUGUGACUCACAGGAACAUAGCAUUUGCUCUAACCAUGUAGAGCACUAAUAUUUUGCAGAUUUUUUGUAUCCUUGGAUUUUUAUAACGUUCUACACGGAGCAAUACCAGAUUUCUUCCUCAAAGGGGAGGAAGAGAAACACAGAGAUGAUUUACAACUCAAGGAAGGUGGUUAUCAGUCUUCCUUUAUCAAACAAGGAAAGACAAGACAAGAGGGAUAAAGGGUGGUUCAUACAAAUGCAGAGCCAGUGGAACAGGCAACACAAAUAAUUCAUGUACUCUGAAAAUUAUUUUAUAUAAAACUUAAAAGGAAAAAUCCGCAAACACCCACAUCAAACUCUGUGACCACCAGAGCAGCGAACACACAACACAGAUCUUCUGGCUCCUUAUCAAGUUCCUGUUAUUUUCAUUAGAGUAGUGCCCAGAGAUCCCAGCCAAUAUCUUGACUCUGGAGGACAGAUUCUGUCUGAGAACGCAGUAGUACCCCAAGGGGCCUUCCAGUGCAAAAGAUAGAGGACACCACACAAGAGGUACCAAGACCAGCACCAAACAAAGAGAAGAUUGCACCCAUCAGCUAUAUACACUGGUUGGAGGCUGGACAUUUACUUUUCAAGGAAGAAGACUGAAGAGAUGUGGAGAAACCUCACCAAUUGACUUCAGUAAGACCUCAGCAUCCUCUGCCAAUGGCUACAAGGAAACUGCUGUCAAGCUUGAUCAAUUUACAUCUCAUCUGAUGACAUACAACCGCUGGUGUUAUCUGACUGGCAAGAAACAGUGUACAACUGGGCUCUGAAAACCAGUAACUCCAAGACAGCCAUUGGCCAUAUAACAUACUGAAAACACACAACGAAAAGCGUCCCCAUGAAAGCCACCCUUCUUCCUCCCAUUUAUAACAGUAGAAGAGUAUGUCACAGUAAGCUUUAGCAGCGCAGAUACGCAAUCCUGCUAGCAGGCAAACAGAUCAAACAUCUACUUCUUUGUAAAUGAAUCCCAGACUAUGCCUAAUUGUAUGAGCAGGAUGUGAAAAGAUUAUUCUAUCUGAGAAAUAUACACAAUCCUUGUCUUUGGCAGCAAAAUAAUAUCAAAUUAUUUGAUAGAAGAAAACAGUAUUUGAACACCUAGGAAAUCUCUUCAUUUUAAAGGCCGUAGUAAUUUCCAGCAGCAGCUGCUCAAAAUCUACUAGUUUAGCAUCCUAUAGCAGAGCAACAUUUAAAUCUCACUUCAUGGGUAGAAACACACCACCUUUCAGCUACUGUUGAACUGACUCA